Molecule: long non-coding RNA, 271 nt
Organism: Triticum urartu
Lineage: Eukaryota; Viridiplantae; Streptophyta; Magnoliopsida; Poales; Poaceae
Source: RefSeq, a predicted model, not a curated record
AACCAGGUAUCUGAAUUUGAGGUGAUCGUUUUCUUGCUUACUUCUGAAUCCCGGUAUCUGAUUUUGAGAAGGAGUUGUGCAAGAUGUCAACAUUAUUGCGAAGAUGAAAAACUUCUACCGAAGGCUAAAAGCUUUAUAGUUUUGGGAUUCACCGGAUGGCUUCCAUGAAACAUCAUCUUUUCUUGAGAGCAUGGAGUGGCGACGGUUAUAGCAGGAGCAGGGCAGCCACAGCUUCUCCUUAUUACAAAAACUUUCAGAAACGAAGGGAAGA